CCUACGGGGGGCAGCAGUGGGGAAUAUUGGACAAUGGGGGCAACCCUGAUCCAGUCAUGCCGCGUGUGUGAAGAAGGCCCUCGGGUUGUAAAGCACUUUCAGUGAGGAAGAACGCCUGGUGGUUAAUACCCAUCAGGAAAGACAUCACUCACAGAAGAAGCACCGGCUAACUCCGUGCCAGCAGCCGCGGUAAUACGGAGGGUGCGAGCGUUAAUCGGAAUUACUGGGCGUAAAGCGCGCGUAGGUGGCUUGAUAAGCCGGUUGUGAAAGCCCCGGGCUCAACCUGGGAACGGCAUCCGGAACUGUCAAGCUAGAGUGCAGGAGAGGAAGGUAGAAUUCCCGGUGUAGCGGUGAAAUGCGUAGAGAUCGGGAGGAAUACCAGUGGCGAAGGCGGCCUUCUGGACUGACACUGACACUGAGGUGCGAAAGCGUGGGUAGCAAACAGGAUUAGAUACCCUGGUAGUC
RNAcentral lists this ribosomal RNA (465 nucleotides) under Vreelandella stevensii. RNAcentral's name for it is "partial 16S ribosomal RNA". It matches the Rfam family "Bacterial small subunit ribosomal RNA", at positions 338 to 795 of the family's 1533-position model. The record is from RNAcentral. Lineage: Bacteria; Pseudomonadati; Pseudomonadota; Gammaproteobacteria; Oceanospirillales; Halomonadaceae.